GAGAGAAAGAGAGAAGUUACUUGAACGUGGUCUUGGUCGAUUAAAAAUUAGUCCGUUCACGGACUUUGAUAAACUCGGAUCGUAUGUCACAGUCUGUGAAACGAUAUCUGCACAUAGUGGAAUACGUAAGGUCUAUAAAUAGGAGGAACGUGGGAUUCGGAUCUGAAGAUUUGGAGAGACGUGUCGAGCGCCCUCUCGUCGCGUUCGUGCGCUGCGCGAGAGACAGGAGAUGCAAAGGCUUCACGCCUAAGAGGGCCUGUCGUCGAUCUAUAAGGACGGUAUUUGACCACGAUGCCACGUAAGCCACGACCGCGACCCCUGUCCUCGAGGAUUUGCCGCGAAAACCCUUCUCGGUUUCGGAGGUGAUCAGUCACCUCAGAUCCACGGGGCAAACAAACUUAAGCUUGACCGUGGGGGCCGAAGGUGACGAGGAUCGCAAACGAUGUGUCGAAGCUUUGACGAAUUCGAUCCGGAAACAGGAUAUCGUUUCGGUUCGUUAGCAAGAGGGGAAACGAAAAGAAACGGGCGAAAAGCUGCGAGCUCCCUCCUCCCUCGAAAAGCAACGCUUCGUCCUUUUUCCAUUUCCGUGAACCGAGUCUGUGAUUUCGAUGUAGAAUGUCGUCGAUCAAACGAGACCGCGCUUACCGACCACUUCCGCUCGUCGUAUUCCAGUAUCCCGUUUUGGACACGCGCUAUAAGCGACAAAUAAGUUUCAGAGAUCACAGGUUAGGAUUCAUGUAAGAAGAACGAAGUUUUUACGGGCUGGUUUUCACUCGAGUACAAAUCAAGAUCGGGACUCUUAAAUCUCCGAAGAAUGGGAACGAGAAUUUCUUUCGGACCGCCUCAAAGUGUAGAGGCAAGCAUGGUACAAGGUGGCGCCACCUUGGCGGCAGUGGCCAACUUGACAACCGUGUAAAAAGCGACGAAAUCGAGAGUGUUGGUGGGUCUGGCGAAGAGGCACGAUCAAAGAGGAAAGAGGGAACAGCCUAUAAAACAAUUGACGCUCCCGCGGUAUCAAGGAGUAUCCGUUAAACCUGUUUUCUACUUCUUCUACUAACCCAUCGAAAUCCACUUUGAUCAAGUUGCCUUCGGAAUUGAAUGAAAUUACGUUACAAUAAAUGUAUUGUUAUACGUGCCUAAUAUGUGAAUGGAUAUGGAAGUAUAUGAUUAUAGUUAUAUGCGACUAAUAUAAGUAUAUGAAUACAUUUAACAUUAUCUGACAAUUAUAAACUAUAUUAUUGAGUUCAGCAAAUUAGAAUAGCCUUUCUAUGAUAUAAACGGUAAUUUGAGAAAAUUUAACAACUUUUUUUUUUUCAGAUUUUAAUUUCAAAACACGACUACUUUUGAAACAUGGUAUCCUCUCAACGACAAUUCAAAGUGUACACCUUUCCUCGACUCCGCCGGAGAAAGAAAGAUCCCGUAAUCCAUCGAUCGAUCGAUUUCUCUCCAAGUAAAAAGAGGGAAAGAGGAGAAAAAGAAGAAGGACGAAGGUGAGAGAGCGCGCCACGAGCCCGGUUGUUCAGUUUUCAGAGCCGCGAUAUCAAAGCGGGCAUCUCGAACGGCGCCAAGACCAUAGUUAACGAGGUCCUCGUCUGAGCCAUUCACCACCGGGGCACCCUUGUCGUCGUUGUCGAUUCGGCGACAUACGCUGCAAACCACCGGGUCCAGACGAAACCGCCCACUCGACGACCACCGUGCUACGCUCUCUUCCUUCCUUCCUUCUCGUUCGACCAGACGUGUAACACGGCUUCGAGGAAAGAAAGAAAGAAAGAAAGAAAGAAAAGGAGAGAAAUGAACAGGCUACGCGUCGUGUCGCGUCAAUGUUCACGAGCACCUCACGAAGGACUGUGCUAUGGUUCGACCUUUCCUCGACCACCAAAAAAAAAAAAAGAAUAUUAACCUUGAUCUUCUCAAGAAUUGGUUUCUCAUUUAUCUUGAAGGAAUUGAUGUUAUGUUACACAGAAGUGCUGAUCUAAUCUGAAUGAAAUGAAAUGUAUCCAAGAAUAUUUAAGAAACUUAAAGUCAAUAAUAUUCAAUUUCUCUCUCAAGUUGAGAAAAAAAAAAGAAGGAAUAAGAUAAUUUCAGAUUUUCUAUCGAAUAUUUGCAUCGUUUGAAUCGAUAAAUGGCACGGUACACGGGUCCCAUUUGUUCUAUAUUUGUUCAAUGAGUUUGGAAAUCUCCAUUCAGCUCGGUUCGAGCUCGAGAACGGUUGAAUGAUCGAUGUCGUGGGUGGUCAACAGGCGGAGGACAGUCGUGUGAAUGAGCCCAGUGUUCGAUGACUCGUUUAUGUAGGCUGUUAUCAGCUUACACGCGAAUAACCGAAUGACCCGACCGAUGCAAAAACCAUUUUAUUGUUUUCGACCGUUUAUGAAUUCGACCAGAACAGGACAAAACGAUCGAUCUGCUCGAUAAGGAAACGAUCGAAGGCGAAAAUUAAUUCUUCGAUACCUCGAGGAAUGGAAGGGAGGGUAUUGGUUAGGUUAUUGGAUAUUGAUUUUUUUUUCAAGGAUGGAAAUGGAUAAUUAUAUAGUAUUGAAAUAUAUCUAAUUUGUUAUAAUUAAUAAUAUUUCGUUGCCAUUAGAGAAAUUUGAUAAAAUUUGAAUCUAUUAAUACGAAUGUUUAUUACUUAUGUAGAUACAUUGGUAUCCAUCAUAAUUGGAUGUAUUUUUAUUAUUAGUUUUUGAUCAAGUUAUCUAUUCUUUUACAUACGUAUGUUCAUAGAACGGUAUUGUAUAACGUUUCUUAAUUUAUUCCGUGUAAAUAUGCGAA
Molecule: long non-coding RNA, 2769 nt
Filed under: Apis mellifera (honey bee)
Lineage: Eukaryota; Metazoa; Arthropoda; Insecta; Hymenoptera; Apidae
Description: uncharacterized LOC100576080, transcript variant X4
Source: RNAcentral